Molecule: ribosomal RNA, 253 nt
Filed under: uncultured bacterium
Lineage: Bacteria
Description: partial 16S ribosomal RNA
Rfam family: Bacterial small subunit ribosomal RNA
Source: RNAcentral
UACGUAGGGUGCAAGCGUUGUCCGGAAUUAUUGGGCGUAAAGAGCUCGUAGGCGGUUUGUUGCGUCGGCUGUGAAAUCCCGAGGCUCAACCUCGGGCCUGCAGUGGGUACGGGCAGACUAGAGUGCGGUAGGGGAGAAUGGAAUUCCUGGUGUAGCGGUGGAAUGCGCAGAUAUCAGGAGGAACACCGAUGGCGAAGGCAGUUCUCUGGGCCGUAACUGACGCUGAGGAGCGAAAGCGUGGGGAGCGAACAGG